GAUUCUAUAGCUCAAUGGUUAGAGCAGCGGACGGUUAAUCUGCAGAUGAUGGUUCGACUCCAUCCAGAAUCA
RNAcentral lists this transfer RNA (72 nucleotides) under Fructobacillus ficulneus. RNAcentral describes it as "tRNA-Asn". It matches the Rfam family "tRNA". From Rfam's summary of the family: Transfer RNA (tRNA) molecules are approximately 80 nucleotides in length. Their secondary structure includes four short double-helical elements and three loops (D, anti-codon, and T loops). RNAcentral also lists the same sequence under 1 other name. Lineage: Bacteria; Bacillati; Bacillota; Bacilli; Lactobacillales; Lactobacillaceae. The record is from RNAcentral.